RNAcentral lists this ribosomal RNA (476 nucleotides) under Streptococcus sp. oral taxon 066. RNAcentral's name for it is "bacterial SSU rRNA". It matches the Rfam family "Bacterial small subunit ribosomal RNA", at positions 28 to 488 of the family's 1533-position model. The record is from RNAcentral. Lineage: Bacteria; Bacillati; Bacillota; Bacilli; Lactobacillales; Streptococcaceae.
GAUGAACGCUGGCGGCGUGCCUAAUACAUGCAAGUAGAACGCUGAAGCUUGGUGCUUGCACCGAGCGGAUGAGUUGCGAACGGGUGAGUAACGCGUAGGUAACCUGCCUGGUAGCGGGGGAUAACUAUUGGAAACGAUAGCUAAUACCGCAUAACAGUAGAUAUUGCAUGAUAUCUGCUUGAAAGGGGCAAUUGCUCCACUACCAGAUGGACCUGCGUUGUAUUAGCUAGUUGGUGAGGUAACGGCUCACCAAGGCGACGAUACAUAGCCGACCUGAGAGGGUGAUCGGCCACACUGGGACUGAGACACGGCCCAGACUCCUACGGGAGGCAGCAGUAGGGAAUCUUCGGCAAUGGACGGAAGUCUGACCGAGCAACGCCGCGUGAGUGAAGAAGGUUUUCGGAUCGUAAAGCUCUGUUGUAAGAGAAGAACGAGUGUGAGAGUGGAAAGUUCACACUGUGACGGAACUACCAGAA